This 900-nucleotide ribosomal RNA is filed under the name uncultured bacterium. RNAcentral's name for it is "bacterial SSU rRNA". It matches the Rfam family "Bacterial small subunit ribosomal RNA", at positions 77 to 984 of the family's 1533-position model. The record is from RNAcentral.
AGCUUGCUGCUCGAAGAUCUUAGUGGCGGACGGGUGAGUAACGCGUGGGCAAUCUGCCCGUAAGAGGGGGAUAACACCUAGAAAUGGGUGCUAAUACCGCAUAACAUCAUAGGGUUGCAUGACCUUGUGAUCAAAGGAGAAAUCCGCUUAUGGAUGAGCCCGCGUCUGAUUAGCUAGUUGGUGGGGUAACGGCCUACCAAGGCGACGAUCAGUAGCCGGCCUGAGAGGGUGAUCGGCCACACUGGAACUGAGACACGGUCCAGACUCCUACGGGAGGCAGCAGUGGGGAAUCUUCCGCAAUGGGCGAAAGCCUGACGGAGCAACGCCGCGUGAGUGAUGAAGGCCUUCGGGUUGUAAAACUCUGUCUUCAGGGAAGAAAAAAAUGACGGUACCUGAGGAGGAAGCCACAGCUAACUACGUGCCAGCAGCCGCGGUAAUACGUAGGUGGCAAGCGUUGUCCGGAAUUACUGGGCGUAAAGAGCGCGUAGGCGGGGAUUUAAGUCAGGAGUGAAAACUACCGGCUCAACCGGUAGCCUGCUCUUGAAACUGAAUCUCUUGAGGGUAUGAGAGGAAAGCGGAAUUCCCAGUGUAGCGGUGAAAUGCGUAGAUAUUGGGAGGAACACCAGUGGCGAAGGCGGCUUUCUGGCAUACAACUGACGCUGAGGCGCGAAAGCGUGGGGAGUAAACGGGAUUAGAUACCCCGGUAGUCCACGCCGUAAACGAUGGGCACUAGGUGUAGGAGGUAUCGACCCCUUCUGUGCCGUAGUUAACACAAUAAGUGCCCCGCCUGGGGAGUACGGCCGCAAGGUUGAAACUCAAAGGAAUUGACGGGGGCCCGCACAAGCGGUGGAGUAUGUGGUUUAAUUCGACGCAACGCGAAGAACCUUACCAAGGGCUUGA